This is a non-coding RNA of Pelobates cultripes (western spadefoot toad), 247 nucleotides long. The record is from the annotation of a GenBank genome assembly. Lineage: Eukaryota; Metazoa; Chordata; Amphibia; Anura; Pelobatidae.
GGGUCGCGUCCUGCAGUGAGAGCCGAGGUGCGAGGGAACCGCCGCGCAUAAGCUUGCCACAAGAUGGCACUGAGAGGGAAGCCCAGGAAAAAAACUAAUAGAAAUGGCCGCGGCAUGAAAAAAGGCGGGAAACGUCUCUAUGGAGACGCCAGGGCAACACACAUAGUGUGUGAGGAAAACUGAGCGGCUGAGCGGACCGGCAAGAUGCCGGGCGCCGUGAGGAAAGUGGAAAUUAAACGGACAGUAC